UACGUAGGGGGCAAGCGUUGUCCGGAAUCAUUGGGCGUAAAGAGCGUGUAGGCGGCUUGGCAAGUCUGGUGUGAAAUCUUGCGGCUCAACCGCAAGCGGUCACUGGAAACUGCCUCGCUAGAGUCCGGAAGAGGAGAGCGGAAUUCCUGGUGUAGCGGUGAAAUGCGCAGAUAUCGGGAGGAACACCAAUGGCGAAGGCAGCUCGCUGGGACGGUACUGACGCUGAGACGCGAAAGCGUGGGGAGCAAACAGG
Molecule: ribosomal RNA, 253 nt
Filed under: uncultured bacterium
Lineage: Bacteria
Description: partial 16S ribosomal RNA
Rfam family: Bacterial small subunit ribosomal RNA
Source: RNAcentral